GUUUGAUCCUGGCUCAGAUUGAACGCUGGCGGCAUGCUUUUACACAUGCAAGUCGAACGGCAGCGGGGGCUUCGGCCUGCCGGCGAGUGGCGAACGGGUGAGUAAUGCAUCGGAACGUGCCCAUGUCGUGGGGGAUAACGUAGCGAAAGCUACGCUAAUACCGCAUACGCCCUGAGGGGGAAAGCGGGGGAUUCUUCGGAACCUCGCGCGAUUGGAGCGGCCGAUGUCGGAUUAGCUAGUAGGUGAGGUAAAGGCUCACCUAGGCGACGAUCCGUAGCGGGUCUGAGAGGAUGAUCCGCCACACUGGGACUGAGACACGGCCCAGACUCCUACGGGAGGCAGCAGUGGGGAAUUUUGGACAAUGGGCGCAAGCCUGAUCCAGCCAUGCCGCGUGAGUGAAGAAGGCCU
RNAcentral lists this ribosomal RNA (408 nucleotides) under uncultured bacterium. RNAcentral describes it as "bacterial SSU rRNA". It matches the Rfam family "Bacterial small subunit ribosomal RNA", at positions 11 to 417 of the family's 1533-position model. The record is from RNAcentral.